AUUGAACGCUGGCGGCAGGCCUAACACAUGCAAGUCGAACGAGUGGCGGACGGGUGAGGAAUGUCUGGGAAACUGCCCGAUGGGGGGGGAUAACGACGGGCAACGGUAGCUAAUACCGCGUACCAGCGGGGGUGGCCAGAUGGGAUUAGCUAGUUGGUGGGGUAACGGCCCACCUAGGCGACGAUCCCUAGCUGGUCUGAGAGGAUGAUCAGCCACACUGGAAGUGAGACACGGUCCAGACUCCUACGGGAGGCAGCAGUGGGGAAUAUUGCACAAUGGGCGAAAGCCUGAUCCAGCCAUGCCGCGUGUAUGAAGAAGGCCUUCGGGUUGUAAAGUACUUUAAGCGAGGAGGCGUUACUCACAGAAUAAGCACCGGCUAACUCCGUGCCAGCAGCCGCGGUAAUUC
RNAcentral lists this ribosomal RNA (406 nucleotides) under uncultured bacterium. Its description in RNAcentral is "partial 16S ribosomal RNA". It matches the Rfam family "Bacterial small subunit ribosomal RNA", at positions 29 to 526 of the family's 1533-position model. The record is from RNAcentral.